RNAcentral lists this ribosomal RNA (254 nucleotides) under uncultured bacterium. RNAcentral's name for it is "partial 16S ribosomal RNA". It matches the Rfam family "Bacterial small subunit ribosomal RNA", at positions 524 to 776 of the family's 1533-position model. The record is from RNAcentral.
UACGGAGGGUGCAAGCGUUAUCCGGAUUCACUGGGUUUAAAGGGUGCGUAGGUGGCUAUAUAAGUCAGUGGUGAAAGCCCCGCGGCUCAACCGUGGAAUUGCCAUUGAAACUGCAUAGCUUGAGUACAGUUGAAGUGGGCGGAAUACAUCAUGUAGCGGUGAAAUGCUUAGAUAUGAUGUAGAACACCGAUUGCGAAGGCAGCUCACUAAGCUGUAACUGACACUGAGGCACGAAAGCGUGGGUAGCAAACAGG